AUGAAAUCUUUACUCGUCCUCAUGCUGUCACUGGCUGCUGCCCCGGGUGUCCUCUGCCAGGUGCAGCUGGUCCAGUCUGGCCCGGGGGCGGUGAAGCUCGGAGAGACCCUCACCCUGACCUGCGCUGUCUCGGGUGUUUCCAUCACUGACAGCAGCUAUGCUGCGCUCACUGGCAGCUGUGGACACCGCCACCCAUUACUGCACCAGAUACACAGUGACACGAAGCAGAGCGGGACUGCCUCCAGGUUCCCCUUCAGCAGUCAUCUCAUGGAUUGGAUCCGUCUGGCCCCCGGGAAGGGGCUGGAGUGGCUGGCCAGAGCUGCUGCCCAGGGCAGCGCCUACUACGCUGAUUCUGUGCAAGGGCGAUUCACCAUCUCCAGAGACAACGCCAACAGCCUGGUGCGUUUGCAAAUCAGCAGCCUGAGAGCGGAGGACACCGCCCUGUAUUACUGUGUCAGAGACACACAGCCAGGGGCCUAG
Non-coding RNA from Emys orbicularis (European pond turtle), 480 nucleotides. NCBI's taxonomy places the organism in Eukaryota, Metazoa, Chordata, Testudines, Emydidae. The record is from the annotation of a RefSeq genome assembly.